Molecule: ribosomal RNA, 811 nt
Filed under: uncultured Pelagibacteraceae bacterium
Lineage: Bacteria; Pseudomonadati; Pseudomonadota; Alphaproteobacteria; Candidatus Pelagibacterales; Candidatus Pelagibacteraceae
Description: bacterial SSU rRNA
Rfam family: Bacterial small subunit ribosomal RNA
Source: RNAcentral
CGCUGGCGGCACGCCUAAUACAUGCAAGUCGAACGCAGUAGCAAUACUGAGUGGCAGACGGGUGAGUAUAAUGUGGGAAUCUGCCUUUUGGUUUGGAAUAACUUGGGGAAACUCGAGCUAAUACCGGAUAAGCCCUUACGGGGAAAGAUUUAUCGCCGAAAGAUGAGCCCGCACUUGAUUAGCUUGUUGGUGAGGUAAAAGCUCACCAAGGCAACGAUCAAUAGCUGUUCUUAGAGGAAGACCAGCCACAUUGGGACUGAGACACGGCCCAGACUCCUACGGGAGGCAGCAGUAGGGAAUCUUGCACAAUGGGGGAAACCCUGAUGCAGCGAUGCCGCGUGAGUGAAGAAGGCCUUUGGGUUGUAAAACUCUUUCGUCGGGGAAGAAAAUGACUGUACCCGAAUAAGAAGGUCCGGCUAACUUCGUGCCAGCAGCCGCGGUAAUACGAAGGGAUCUAGCGUAGUUCGGAAUUACUGGGCUUAAAGAGCUCGUAGGUGGUUAGAAAAGUUGAUGGUGAAAUCCCAAGGCUCAACCUUGGAACUGCCAUCAAAACUUUUUAGCUUGAGUGUGAUAGAGGAAAGUGGAAUUUCUAGUGUAGAGGUGAAAUUCGUAGAUAUUAGAAAGAACACCAAAAGCGAAGGCAACUUUCUGGAUCAUUACUGACACUGAGGAGCGAAAGCAUGGGUAGCGAAGAGGAUUAGAUACCCUCGUAGUCCAUGCUGUAAACGAUGUGUGCUAGACGUUGGAAAUUUAAUUUUCAGUGUCGCAGCAAAAGCGUUAAGCACACCGCCUGGGGAGUACGACCGCAAGC